This 1122-nucleotide ribosomal RNA is filed under the name uncultured Rhizobium sp. RNAcentral's name for it is "bacterial SSU rRNA". It matches the Rfam family "Bacterial small subunit ribosomal RNA", at positions 142 to 1409 of the family's 1533-position model. The record is from RNAcentral. Lineage: Bacteria; Pseudomonadati; Pseudomonadota; Alphaproteobacteria; Hyphomicrobiales; Rhizobiaceae.
AACAACUCCCGGAAACUGGAGGUAAGACCGCGUACCCCUACGGGGGAAAGAUUUAUCGGGGAUGGAUGAGCCCGCGUUGGAUUACUAGUUGGGGGGUAAAGGCCUACCGGCACAUCCAUACUGGUCUGAGAGGAUGAUCGGCCACAUUGGGACUGAACACGGCCCAACCUCCUACGGGAGGCAGCAGGGGAAUAUUGGACAAUGGGCGCAGCCUGAUCCAGCCAUGCCGCGGAUGAUGAAGCCUUAGGUGUAAAGCUCUUUCACCGAUGAAGAUAAUGACGGUUUCGAAAGAACCCCGUAACUUCGGCCACCCCGCGGAAUACAAGGGGCUAGCGUGUUCUAAUUACUGGGCCCCAGCGCACUAGCCGAUAUUUAAGUCAGGGUGAAAUCCCCAGCUCACUGCGACUGCCUUUGAUACUGGGUAUCUUGAGUAUGGUAAGGUUAGUGAAUUGCCAGUGUAGGUGAAAUUCGUAAUAUUCCAGGAACCUGUGGCGAAGGCGGCUAACUGGACCAUAACUGACGCUGAGGUGCGAAAGCGUGGGGAGCAAACAGGAUUAGAUACCCGUAGCGAUGAAUGUUACCGUCGGGCAGUUUACUGUUGGUGGCGCAGCUAACCAAUUAACAUUCCGCCUGGGGAGUACGGUCGCAAGAUAAACUCAAAGGAAUUGACGGGGCCCGCACAAGCGUGGAGCAUGUGGUUUAAUUCGAAGCAACGCGCAGAACCUUACCAGCCUUGACAUUCUGCUCCCGCAGAGAGGGUUUUCCUUCGGGGCGGAGCACAGGUGUGCAUGGUGUCGUCAGCUCGUGUCGUGAGAUGUUGGGUUAAGUCCCGCAACGAGCGCAACCCUGCCUUAUUGCCAGCAUUCAGUUGGGCACUCUAAGGACUGCCGGUGAUAACCGAGAGGAAGGUGGGGAUGGUCAAGUCUUCAUGCCUUACGGGUGGGUACACACGUGUACAAUGGUGGUGACAGUGGGCAGGAGCAGAGUGUGAUAUUCUCAAACCAUCUCAGUUCGGAUUGCAUCUGCAACUCGGUGCAUGAAGUGGAAUGCUAGUAAUCGCGGAUCAGCAUGCCGCGGUGAAUACGUUCCCGGGCCUUGUACCCCGCCCGUCACACCAUGGAG